AUGGCAAUGGCUUACAAGAUGGCGACGGAGGGGAUGAACAUCAAGGAGGAGUGCAAGCGGUGGUUCACGGAGAUGAAGUGGAAGAAGGUGCACCGCUUCGUGGUCUACAAGAUCGACGAGCGGACGCGCGCCGUGCUGGUGGACAAGGUGGGCGGCCCCGGGGAGGGGUACGACGAGCUCGUCGCCGCGCUGCCCGGCGACGACUGCCGCUACGCCGUCUUCGACUUCGACUUCGUCUCCGUCGACAACUGCCAGAAGAGCAAGAUCUUCUUCAUCGCAUGGUCGCCGGCGGCGUCGAGGAUAAGGGCCAAGAUUCUGUACGCGACGUCGAAGCAAGGCCUGCGGCGGGUGCUGGAGGGGGUCCACUACGAGGUGCAGGCCACCGAGCGCUCCGAGAUGGGCUUCGACGUCAUCAGAGAGCGCGCGCAAUGA
This 432-nucleotide ribosomal RNA is filed under the name Triticum aestivum (bread wheat). RNAcentral's name for it is "partial small subunit ribosomal RNA". Lineage: Eukaryota; Viridiplantae; Streptophyta; Magnoliopsida; Poales; Poaceae. The record is from RNAcentral.